GACGAACGCUGGCGGCGUGCUUAACACAUGCAAGUCGAACGGGAUCCGGGCUUUCGGGUUUGGUGAGAGUGGCGAACGGGUGAGUAACACGUGAGUAACCUGCCCCCUUCUUUGGGAUAACGUCGGGAAAUCGGCGCUAAUACUGGAUAUUCUUGCUGCAUCGCAUGGUGUGGUUUGGAAAGGGUUUCUGGUGGGGGAUGGGCUCGCGGCCUAUCAGCUUGUUGGUGGGGUGAUGGCCUACCAAGGCUUUGACGGGUAGCCGGGCUGAGAGGGGGUCCGGCCACACUGGGACUGAGACACGGCCCAGACUCCUACGGGAGGCAGCAGUGGGGAAUAUUGCACAAUGGGCGCAAGCCUGAUGCAGCGACGCCGCGUGAGGGAUGACGGCCUUCGGGUUGUAAACCUCUUUCAGUAUGGAACAAGGAUCCUUCUUUUGGGGGGUUUGAGGGUACGUGCAGAAGAAGCGCCGGCUAACUACGUG
RNAcentral lists this ribosomal RNA (481 nucleotides) under uncultured bacterium. RNAcentral describes it as "partial 16S ribosomal RNA". It matches the Rfam family "Bacterial small subunit ribosomal RNA", at positions 28 to 507 of the family's 1533-position model. The record is from RNAcentral.